Molecule: ribosomal RNA, 117 nt
Organism: Vulpes vulpes (red fox)
Lineage: Eukaryota; Metazoa; Chordata; Mammalia; Carnivora; Canidae
Source: Ensembl
CUCUAUAGCCAUACCACCCUGAACCCCACCCCAUCUCAGCUAAUCUGACAGAAAGCAGGGUCAGGCCUAAUCAGUAGUUGCUGGGAGGCCUCCUUGGAAUACUGGCUGUCGUCAGUA